Molecule: RNA transcript, 2528 nt
Organism: Triticum aestivum (bread wheat)
Lineage: Eukaryota; Viridiplantae; Streptophyta; Magnoliopsida; Poales; Poaceae
Gene name: subtilisin-like protease SBT3.9
Exons: 10
Source: RefSeq, a predicted model, not a curated record
CGAUCACGUGUGUCACCUAGAAACACGCAAUGUUCUUUUGAACUGUUCUUUCUUCUUGGACCCCAUGGAUAGCACCUGGCUCCGAUGAGAUGCUAUAUAUACAUACACGCGACAGCAGAGAAGAACAUAACACUCUUCUGGAGAUCAGACAUGGGUUCGAGGAUAGCUUUCUCUUGUUGUGCUCUGCUACUGGUCACACUGCUGCCUCUUUCGGCGAAUGCGUCGAGCAAACUCUACAUAGUGUACAUGGGGGAGAAGAAACAUGACGAUCCAUCUGUUGUGACCGCGUGGCACCAUGACAUACUAACCUCCGUACUUGGGAGCAAGGAUGAAUCCUUGAAGUCGAUGGUUUACAGUUACAAGCACGGAUUCUCUGGGUUCGCGGCAAUGCUCACCAAAACCCAAGCAAGGACUUUGGCAAACUUUCCUGAAGUUAUAAGUGUGAAACCUAACACCUACCACAUGGCGCACACAACUCGGAGCUGGGACUUCCUUGGCCUUGGGCACAACAAAUCACCACAACAAACUGACCUCCUACGAAAAGCGAAUUACGGUGAAGAUAUCAUUGUCGGGGUGAUCGAUUCAGGCAUAUGGCCUGAAUCACAAAGCUUUGACGACAACAGAUACGGCCCUGUGCCGGCACGGUGGAAAGGCAUAUGCCAGACCGGAACAGCGUUCAAUGCAUCGAGUUGCAAUAGAAAGAUCAUCGGCGCACGGUGGUACUCUGAGGGAAUUGACGCCAUGCACCUCAAGGGUGAGUACAUGUCGCCUCGGGAUUUCAACGGCCAUGGAACUCAUGUUGCCUCGACGAUUGCCGGAGGAGAAGUGCAAGGUGUGAGUUAUGGCGGCCUAGCCACCGGCAUGGCACGUGGCGGGGCACCGCGUGCACGGCUAGCAAUUUACAAGGUGUUAUGGGGCCCGAACACGGCAGCCAGUGACGCGGACAUCCUCGCAGCCAUUGACGAUGCCAUACAAGAUGGCGUGGAUGUCCUGUCGCUCUCACUGGGACGGGUGCCGGUCACGAGUUCCCCGGGACACUUCAUGCAGUCUUGAGAGGGAUCUCAGUUGUCUUCUCUGCCGGGAAUGAUGGUCCGGCACCACAAAUGGUGACGAAUGUCAUGCCAUGGGUGACGACAGUGGCAGCUAGCACGAUGGACCGGGCCUUCCCAACCCUCAUAUCUCUCGGAAACAAAGAAAAGCUUGUGGGACAAUCUCUUUACUACAACUCAACUCUGAACAGCGACGGCUUCAAGGAGCUUGUUCACGCGGGAAGCUGCACCGCGGAGUGGUUAGCGUCAAACAACGUGACCGGCAAGAUCGUCCUGUGCUAGGCACCAAGGCUGGCGCCCAGCGUGCUGCCUCGAGUAGAGCUGUCCCUCACCAUCAACCGUACUAUGGGUGUCGGAGCCAAGGGCCUCAUCUUUGCACAGUACCCCACGAACCUCCUGCCGAUAUGCAAGGGCGGCAUGCCCUGUAUUGUAGUAGACUACGAAAUUGCACAGAGAAUUGAAUCAUACUUGGCGACCACAGAGAGUCCAAUCGUGAAGGUGUCACCUGCCAUGACCGUUGUCGGAGACGGGGUGUUGUCGCCAAGGGUUGCUUCAUUCUCGUCCAGAGGCCCGAGUCCUCUAUUCCCAGGCAUACUCAAGCCCGACAUAACUGCACCAGGCGUCGGCAUCUUGGCAGCUAUGCGCGGCUUCUAUGUGUUAAUGGAUGGUACAUCAAUGGCAUGCCCACAUGUCUCUGCAGUUACCGCACUUCUUAAGUCGGUUCACCCUGACUGGUCGCCUGCUAUGAUCAAGUCUGCAAUCGUCACCACAGCAUCAGCGACCGAUCAAUUCGGUGAGCCAAUCGAAGCGGAGUCGGUGCCGAGGAAGGUGGCUGAUCCCUUCGACUUCGGUAGUGGCCACAUGGAUCCUGACAGAGCCGCUAACCCUGGCUUGGUUUACGAUGUGGAUGCAAGAGAGUACAACAAGUUUUUUAAUUGCACCCUUGGAUCGUUCCAUGGUUGCGAGUCCUACCAACUCAAUCUCAAUCUCCCGUCGAUCGCUAUUCCAGACCUCAAGGACCACGUCACGGUUCAACGCACUGUCACAAAUGUGGGGGCAGUCGGAACAACUUAUCAUGCGGUACUUGAAGCUCCAGCAGGGGUGAUCAUGUCCGUGGAGCCAUCUGUGAUCACAUUCGCCAAAGGAGGUAGCACAAGCAUGACAUUCACAGUGUCGUUCGCUACAAAGCGGAGAGUGCAAGGUGGGUUUACCUUUGGGAGCUUGACAUGGUCAGAUGGAAAUACACACUCGGUUAGAAUUCCCGUCGCAGUAAGGACUGUGAUACAAGACUUUGUUGCGGAUAUAUCUUAAAUACAUCAACUCAAUAGUGUGUCAUUGUUCAUGCACUCAUGUACUUGGCAUCGAAAAAUGUAGGGAACACUAAAAAUCAUUUUCUUACAAUAGUAUGAAAUAAACAUGGUAGUCCUCCAUGAUUACUGAGAUGUAUUGAUCCUUUUAUAUGUCUAUAUACUAGCAAAA